Molecule: ribosomal RNA, 492 nt
Filed under: uncultured bacterium
Lineage: Bacteria
Description: partial 16S ribosomal RNA
Rfam family: Bacterial small subunit ribosomal RNA
Source: RNAcentral
AGUGAACGCUGGCGGUAGGCCUAACACAUGCAAGUCGAACGGCAGCACAGUAAGAGCUUGCUCUUACGGGUGGCGAGUGGCGGACGGGUGAGGAAUACAUCGGAAUCUACUUUUUCGUGGGGGAUAACGUAGGGAAACUUACGCUAAUACCGCAUACGACCUACGGGUGAAAGCAGGGGAUCUUCGGACCUUGCGCGAUUGAAUGAGCCGAUGUCGGAUUAGCUAGUUGGCGGGGUAAAGGCCCACCAAGGCGACGAUCCGUAGCUGGUCUGAGAGGAUGAUCAGCCACACUGGAACUGAGACACGGUCCAGACUCCUACGGGAGGCAGCAGUGGGGAAUAUUGGACAAUGGGCGCAAGCCUGAUCCAGCCAUACCGCGUGGGUGAAGAAGGCCUUCGGGUUGUAAAGCCCUUUUGUUGGGAAAGAAAAGCAGCAGGUUAAUACCACGCUGUUCUGACGGUACCCAAAGAAGAAGCACCGGCUAACUUCGUG